GGAAACGGUGGCUAAUACCGGAUGUGCCGAAAGGUGAAAGAUAUAUUGCCUGAAGAUGAGCUCGCGUCUGAUUAGCUAGUAGGUGUGGUAAGAGCGCACCUAGGCGACGAUCAGUAGCUGGUCUGAGAGGAUGAUCAGCCACACUGGGACUGAGACACGGCCCAGACUCCUACGGGAGGCAGCAGUGGGGAAUUUUCCGCAAUGGGCGAAAGCCUGACGGAGCAAUACCGCGUGAGGGAGGAAGGCUCUUGGGUUGUAAACCUCUUUUCUCAGGGAAGAACAUAAUGACGGUACCUGAGGAAUAAGCAUCGGCUAACUCCGUGCCAGCAGCCGCGGUAAUACGGAGGAUGCAAGCGUUAUCCGGAAUGAUUGGGCGUAAAGCGUCCGCAGGUGGCUAUGUAAGUCUGCUGUUAAA
RNAcentral lists this ribosomal RNA (415 nucleotides) under Aulosira pseudoramosa LCRSM-NDb. Its description in RNAcentral is "bacterial SSU rRNA". It matches the Rfam family "Bacterial small subunit ribosomal RNA", at positions 152 to 599 of the family's 1533-position model. The record is from RNAcentral. Lineage: Bacteria; Bacillati; Cyanobacteriota; Cyanophyceae; Nostocales; Fortieaceae.